GGACGAACGCUGGCGGCGUGCUUAACACAUGCAAGUCUUACGAGAAAGUUACGUUCGGAACUGAGUAAAGUGGCGUACGGGUGCGUAACACGUAGGUAACCUGCCUUUGAGAGGGGAUAACAUGCCGAAAGGCGUGCUAAUACCACAUAAUGUCUCCGAAACUACGGUUUUGCGAUCAACAGAUGGCCUCUAUUUAUAAG
This 200-nucleotide ribosomal RNA is filed under the name uncultured bacterium. RNAcentral describes it as "partial 16S ribosomal RNA". It matches the Rfam family "Bacterial small subunit ribosomal RNA", at positions 27 to 224 of the family's 1533-position model. The record is from RNAcentral.